Long non-coding RNA from Sarcophilus harrisii (Tasmanian devil), 664 nucleotides. RefSeq lists it as uncharacterized. The transcript has 3 exons. The record is from RefSeq and is a predicted model, not a curated record. NCBI's taxonomy places the organism in Eukaryota, Metazoa, Chordata, Mammalia, Dasyuromorphia, Dasyuridae.
CCGAGACACAGUCAUUGGCUAACUGUCCAGGGAAGAAGAUGGUUCAACACCCAGACAGCCUUUUUCUGGUACUUCACCAAAAAGAUCCAAGAAACAAUAAUCGCUACUUCUGAUUAUUGCCUGUCAGGGCCACCAAAAAAAAAAAAAAAAGGCACCAACUUGUGUUGAAACAUAAAGAACUUAAUCCAUUGUCUGGCUGUGCUGGUUGAUUGAUUGUCUCCCAAUUUAAUAUCCAUCCAUUUUACAAAAUAUAACCAAGAUGCUGAUGGAAUAAAAAAGUGAUAUUCUUCUGAGGAACUUCUAGUGGCAGGAAAUCUCAGCAAACUUGGAUUUAUUCAAAAGAAAAUAAAAUCCCUUCCCAAGCAGCAAAAACAACAAGAAGGAAUUCUCAAAGGCAGAGAAGCUCCUUUUUAGGUCUUUCAUCACUGAAAAAAAAUUAAAGAAAACAAAAUAGGGAACCAAAUAUGAGGAAAAAAUUAAUGGAAACUAAAAAGGGUUUUCCCCUCCAGCCCUCUUCUCUGUAAUGUAUUUAUUCUCCAAAGAAAAUCUACAGCCCAUGCAACGUCACAACGGCAUUCUUUAGUGGAAGGAGAGUUGAACCUCCUUGAACCUAGUAUCAAGUCCCUACUCUGAAGCUUCUUAUCUGAUGAUAUCUCCUGCUAAG